Lolium rigidum is the source of this 1524-nucleotide long non-coding RNA. RefSeq lists it as uncharacterized. The record is from RefSeq and is a predicted model, not a curated record. The transcript has 2 exons. Lineage: Eukaryota; Viridiplantae; Streptophyta; Magnoliopsida; Poales; Poaceae.
ACUCAGGUGAGAUCCCAUCCCUUGUUUUUCUUCUCCUCGAUUCUUUUCCUCCGCGAAUCUAAAAUUAUAGGGAUUUUCUCCGGAUUCAUGGAAUACAGUGGUCGGGCCUCGCCAGUCGCCACGCCGCGUGCUCUUCCGGCGUCAAGGGAGCUUCACAGUUUCGCUCUUCAGUACCGGAGUCGGGCUCGCUUGACUAUUGCGCCAAGUAUGGGGAUGGGCGACGGCGACCCGAGGCUUCCCCGUGAUCUGUUUCUUUGAUGUCGCCAUGGCGUAUUCCGGACGGCCAAGGCAGGAGCCGAGACAAGGAGGUCCCCGUGGCCAGCGAGCCACAUGGGCAGGCAGCCGCGUCCAUCAUGGAGCUGCAAUUCAUCUUUGUUUACCUCCUCGACUCCAUUCUCUUGAUAUGGGAGUGUUGUUGUCUCCACCUUGGCACUAACCCGAGGCUCUUUCUUGAUUCCGUCCAGGCCCAAGUAGAUUUGCACAUCUUCAUACCUGGGAUUUUCUACUUGAUGCAUCUCCUCCUGGUCAUUGUGAUUUUUUAUGUGGAGCACAAAGUUUGGAUGGCAGUACUUCUUUGGGUACCAAUCGCCCUGCUCCUAGUUCAUUUUCCGAAAAAAAUUUCAUAAUCCAUGUGAUUUUGUCAACACUGUCUGCUCUUUGUGGCAUAGUUUUUUUUAAAUAAAUUUUGAAAUAUGUAAUUUUGUGAGAUCUCGGGUUAAUAAAACUAGUUGCAAACAAUUACUAUCUUGGUUAUUAUCAUGUUGGUUAAGUUUUCCUAAUUUAUUCAGCCUGACUUUUCUUCGGCUAUGACAAACACCUUAUUUUCAUAGGGUUUUUUUGUCCUACUUGGGAAAUGGAAUUAUUUCCUAAUGCACCGUAGAUCAUUAUUAAUAUAUGUAUUUAUAUUUUCAGGCCCUGCCAGAGAAAACUGCCUUGGAAGCCAUUAGCCACCGACGGGACCGGAAAAUCCAUUCUCAGUGUGGCUGCGCUUACCCUCGUUCGUCACCGCGAGGAUUGUGCUGGAGCUGCAUCUUGGGCGGCGGCGACUGGAGGCUCCCAUGGAUCUGGGUUCUACGUUUUCCUUUAUUUUUCGAUCUGGGCCCACAUUUUUUCACAGCCUCCGGUCUUCGUCUUGGUUUUACAUGGCGGCCACCAUCAUCGUCCUCACAUAUUUUCUGGCAGCAGGAGGAUUUCAGUAGUAGAAAUUUAAACUAUUGAAUGCACAGCUUUGCCACUUCAAGUUGUAGAACUUUCUAAACAAGUUAGCACUUUGUUGUUGCAGGUCUAAUUAGUUAGUGCUUCGGAUUGUUGUGUGAUGGAUUGUUGUUUAUGGUAAUUAGGACAUGAGUUUGCUGCAACACCCGUGGAUGAUUAGCCUACAUAUUAAGUUAUUCCAUUAGGUGUGCUCAUUACACUUAUAUCUAUGCUGUUAUAUGUAACUCACCAUUAGAGUGUAGUUUCUAAAUAUUCUGCUCCAAAGAGAUGUGUCGUUGCUGUUAUAAGUUGGAGGAUAUUUUUUGCUCA